RNAcentral lists this ribosomal RNA (492 nucleotides) under uncultured bacterium. Its description in RNAcentral is "partial 16S ribosomal RNA". It matches the Rfam family "Bacterial small subunit ribosomal RNA", at positions 29 to 507 of the family's 1533-position model. The record is from RNAcentral.
AGUGAACGCUGGCGGUAGGCCUAACACAUGCAAGUCGAGCGGAUGAACAGUACUUGCUUGUUGUUUCAGCGGCCGACUGGCGGGUGAGUGCUAGGUACCUCCCUAUCUGUUUUUUAUUACGGCAUGACGUAGGGGCUCAUACCGUAUUACUGCAGACGAAGUACGGGUGGAAUCAUCGGACCUUCCGCUCUCGCAUGAUCCUAUGACGGGAUGUCGGAUUAGCUAGUUGGUGGGGUAAAGGCCCACCAAGGCGACGAUCCGUAGCUGGUCUGAGAGGAUGAUCAGCCACACUGGAACUGAGACACGGUCCAGACUCCUACGGGAGGCAGCAGUGGGGAAUAUUGGACAAUGGGCGCAAGCCUGAUCCAGCCAUACCGCGUGUGUGAAGAAGGUCUUCGGAUUGUAAAGCCCUUUUAUUGGGGAAGAAAAGCAGUAAGUUAAUACCCCGCUGUUUUGACGGUACCAAAAGAAUAAGCACCGGCUAACUUCGUG